This 699-nucleotide ribosomal RNA is filed under the name Pseudomonadota bacterium. RNAcentral's name for it is "bacterial SSU rRNA". It matches the Rfam family "Bacterial small subunit ribosomal RNA", at positions 28 to 722 of the family's 1533-position model. The record is from RNAcentral. Lineage: Bacteria; Pseudomonadati; Pseudomonadota.
AUUGAACGCUGGCGGCAUGCCUUACACAUGCAAGUCGAACGGCAGCACGGGAGCAAUCCUGGUGGCGAGUGGCGAACGGGUGAGUAAUAUAUCGGAACGUGCCCAGUCGUGGGGGAUAACGCAGCGAAAGCUGUGCUAAUACCGCAUACGAUCUACGGAUGAAAGCGGGGGAUCGCAAGACCUCGCGCGAUUGGAGCGGCCGAUAUCAGAUUAGGUUGUUGGUGGGGUAAAAGCCCACCAAGCCGACGAUCUGUAGCUGGUCUGAGAGGACGACCAGCCACACUGGAACUGAGACACGGUCCAGACUCCUACGGGAGGCAGCAGUGGGGAAUUUUGGACAAUGGGCGAAAGCCUGAUCCAGCAAUGCCGCGUGCAGGAUGAAGGCCUUCGGGUUGUAAACUGCUUUUGUACGGAACGAAACGGUCUGCUCUAAUACAGUGGGCUAAUGACGGUACCGUAAGAAUAAGCACCGGCUAACUACGUGCCAGCAGCCGCGGUAAUACGUAGGGUGCGAGCGUUAAUCGGAAUUACUGGGCGUAAAGCGUGCGCAGGCGGUUAUAUAAGACAGAUGUGAAAUCCCCGGGCUCAACCUGGGACCUGCAUUUGUGACUGUAUAGCUAGAGUGCGGCAGAGGGGGAUGGAAUUCCGCGUGUAGCAGUGAAAUGCGUAGAUAUGCGGAGGAACACCGAUGGCGAAGGC